UACGGAGGGUGCAAGCGUUAUCCGGAUUCACUGGGUUUAAAGGGUGCGUAGGUGGGCUAGUAAGUCCGUGGUGAAAUCUCCAAGCUUAACUUGGAAACUGCCGUGGAUACUAUUAGUCUUGAAUAUUGUGGAGGUAAGCGGAAUAUGUCAUGUAGCGGUGAAAUGCUUAGAUAUGACAUAGAACACCGAUAGCGAAGGCAGCUUGCUACACAAUCAUUGACACUGAGGCACGAAAGCGUGGGGAGCGAACAGG
Molecule: ribosomal RNA, 253 nt
Filed under: uncultured bacterium
Lineage: Bacteria
Description: partial 16S ribosomal RNA
Rfam family: Bacterial small subunit ribosomal RNA
Source: RNAcentral